AAUAUUGGACAAUGGGGGCCACCCUGAUCCAGCCAUGCCGCGUGUGUGAAGAAGGUCUUCGGAUUGUAAAGCACUUUAAGUUGGGAGGAAGGGCUUUAGGUCAAUACCGUGACGUUUUGACGUUACCAACAGAACAAGCACGGGCCAACACUGUCCCCGCAGCCGCGGUAAUACAGAGGGUGCAAGCGUUAAUCGGAAUUACUGGGCGUAAAGCGCGCGUAGGUGGUUCAGUAAGAUGGGUGUGAAAUCCCCGGGCUUAACCUGGGAACUGCUUUCAUAACUGCUGAGCUAGAGUAAGGUAGAGGGUAGUGGAAUUUCCUGUGUAGCGGUGAAAUGCGUAGAUAUAGGAAGGAACACCAGUGGCGAAGGCGACUACCUGGACUGAUACUGACACUGAGGUGCGAAAGCGUGGGGAGCAAAC
RNAcentral lists this ribosomal RNA (421 nucleotides) under uncultured bacterium. RNAcentral describes it as "partial 16S ribosomal RNA". It matches the Rfam family "Bacterial small subunit ribosomal RNA", at positions 360 to 773 of the family's 1533-position model. The record is from RNAcentral.